AGCACUUGCUGUUUUUCAGUUCAGCCUGUUUCUAGGUGUGAACUUGGCAGAAGUGCUAAGAUUAAAACCUUCUCUUGCAACCCACAACUACUUGACUUGUAGGAGUUGUGUUACUUAUGGGAAGGGACACU
This is a small nucleolar RNA of Bufo bufo (common toad), 131 nucleotides long. RefSeq annotates it as small nucleolar RNA SNORA40. Lineage: Eukaryota; Metazoa; Chordata; Amphibia; Anura; Bufonidae. The transcript has a single exon. The record is from RefSeq and is a predicted model, not a curated record.